GUAGGAAAUCUGUUCAAUUUUCCGCAUAACGCGCAAAACUGAAAAGAUUUGUUACAG
This 57-nucleotide microRNA precursor is filed under the name Necator americanus (New World hookworm). Its description in RNAcentral is "mir-255 microRNA precursor family". It matches the Rfam family "mir-255 microRNA precursor family". The record is from Rfam by way of RNAcentral. Lineage: Eukaryota; Metazoa; Nematoda; Chromadorea; Rhabditida; Ancylostomatidae.